This 253-nucleotide ribosomal RNA is filed under the name uncultured bacterium. RNAcentral describes it as "partial 16S ribosomal RNA". It matches the Rfam family "Bacterial small subunit ribosomal RNA", at positions 524 to 776 of the family's 1533-position model. The record is from RNAcentral.
UACGUAGGUGGCAAGCGUUGUCCGGAUUUAUUGGGUUUAAAGGGUGCGUAGGCGGCCCUGUAAGUCAGUGGUGAAAUACUAUAGCUUAACUAUAGAGGUACCAAUGAUACUGCAGGGCUUGAGUACAGAUGAGGUAGGCGGAAUUGACGGUGUAGCGGUGAAAUGCAUAGAUAUCGUCAAGAACACCGAUAGCGAAGGCAGCUUACUGGGCUGUAACUGACGCUGAUGCACGAAAGUGUGGGGAUCAAACAGG